This 520-nucleotide ribosomal RNA is filed under the name uncultured Glomeromycotina. RNAcentral describes it as "SSU rRNA". It matches the Rfam family "Eukaryotic small subunit ribosomal RNA", at positions 569 to 1089 of the family's 1831-position model. Lineage: Eukaryota; Fungi; Glomeromycota. The record is from RNAcentral.
AGCAGCCGCGGUAAUUCCAGCUCCAAUAGCGUAUAUUAAAGUUGUUGCAGUUAAAAAGCUCGUAGUUGAAUUUCGGGAUUCUACCGUUGGUCGGGCUAACAAGUCUGUACUGGUGUGUAGAAUUUCUACCUCCUGGGAACUAUCAUGUUAUUAAUUUAGCGUGGUGGGAAACCAGGACCUUUACCUUGAAAAAAUUAGAGUGUUCAAAGCAGGCUUAUGUCUGAAUACAUUAGCAUGGAAUAAUAGAAUAGGACGGUGGUCCUGUUUUGUUGGUUUCUGAAUCACCGUAAUGAUUAAUAGGGAUAGUUGGGGGCAUUAGUAUUCAAUUGUCAGAGGUGAAAUUUCUUGGAUUUAUUGAAGACUAACUUCUGACGAAAGCAUUUGCCAAGGAUGUUUUCAUUAAUCAAGAACGAAAGUUAGGGGAUCGAAGACGAUCAGAUACCGUCGUAGUCUUAACCAUAAACUAUGCCGACUAGGGAUCGGACGAUGUUAAAGUUUAUUGACUUCGUUACGGCGUCCU